Molecule: ribosomal RNA, 381 nt
Filed under: uncultured bacterium
Lineage: Bacteria
Description: bacterial SSU rRNA
Rfam family: Bacterial small subunit ribosomal RNA
Source: RNAcentral
GACGAACGCUGGCGGCGUGCUUAACACAUGCAAGUCGAGCGGUAAGGCCCUUUCGGGGGUACACGAGCGGCGAACGGGUGAGUAACACGUGGGUGACCUGCCCUCAGCUCUGGGAUAAGCCUGGGAAACCGGGUCUAAUACUGGAUAUGACUCCAUGACGCAUGUUGUGGGGUGGAAAGCCUUGUGCGGCUGAGGAUGGGCCCGCGGCCUAUCAGCUUGUUGGUGGGGUGAUGGCCUACCAAGGCGACGACGGGUAGCCGGCCUGAGAGGGCGACCGGCCACACUGGGACUGAGACACGGCCCAGACUCCUACGGGAGGCAGCAGUGGGGAAUCUUGCGCAAUGGGCGAAAGCCUGACGCAGCGACGCCGCGUGAGGGAUG